UUAUCACCAUUAUCAUCAACAUUAUCAUUUUUACCAAUAUCAUUAUUGUCAUUAUUAUUAGCAGUAUUACUACCGCUAUUUAUUUGCCGCUAUUAUUUAGUGUUAUUGAAACUUGCAUUUUCUCGACGUUUCUACCAACUUCCGCACAAACAUCGCAUUUUAUUUCGCACAUUUAAAUGAUAACGUUUGUUAUUAAAUAUUAUUGCACGGUCAUUUACGACAUCAUAUAAUUUUUACUCGGGUCUUUUUAUAAUUACAUAUUUCCGUAUUAGGUGAUAUUCUGGCACCCUUAGUACAUCGUUAAUCAAAAUCGGUCUCUUAUUCAAAUUUAGAAGUCAAACUAUUUCUUGCACUCGGUCCGCAUUUUGACUUACCGGACUCCAAAUUAAAGCCCGGUUGACUCCUGAUAAUUUUGGACUAGUCCAUAUCCCGUAUCUCAAUUUUUAGAAUAAUCAGUGUUUUAAUUUAUUAGCCUAUUCUUUUAUACCCAGUCCAAAAAAUGGAUCCGGUCCAAAAAGGGACCAGGUCCGGCCCAAUCUGUUUAAGGGAAACCCUUUAGGGUUUCCCCUUCUCAUUUUUCCUUCAUCCUCUUUCUCUCCGCCUCUUUUCCCCCUUUAUCCCCGAACCCUAGCCGCACACCUCUCCCUCUUUCAUCGCCAUCUCACCCCCCACCACCGCCGUUCUCUCCUUGUUCCCCGCUGUCCCCCACUUCACGUUGUCCCCCCGCUCAUCUCUCUCCUCACACCCUUUCUCUUUAGCAAACCCUAGUUGUUUCCUAUAAAUACUCGUUUCAAGUUUCAUUGAAAGGGGAAACACAGGAACCAUCGGGGGAGAACAGAAGGAAAAACAAAAUUCACUUACACACAAGAACAUAGAUCAGAAAAACCCAAAAAUCCCCCUAGAAAAUAUUAAGUUCGUAGCAGUUGAAUAUUCUUGAUAUCGAUUUAACAUACUAAAUCAGUUUUUUUUUUCUGUUUUAUUUCGCUCCCCUGGUAUUGCAUUGAAUCUGAGGUACGCAAACUCAGAUUCGGUAAGUUCGAGUGUAGAUCGGAGACCCGAAACCCACUUCGCUGCACUUGAAGAAGGUGACCAUGAGUCAACACAAUGCCUACCCGAGAUUCAGCAUGGUUUUGAGCGUCCCUUCCCAACUAACAGCAUGGUGGGUUGAUUUGGGGGAUUACGGACAGCGGGUUGUACGUGGAGCAUUGGGACACUUACCGUCUUUGAUGGAUAUCCAGCCCUGCAGAGACAUCAUCGAGGCUGCAAACCGUGUUUUGGGAUGAAAAUAGGGUCGUGUCUUCUCAUGAGACUAUCGAGCCACAGAUAAGAUUUUUACUUAAAAUAAAUUUUAUUCAAUAUAAGGUGAAUAUUAUUUAAUUUUUUUAACCUUUAUUUGGACCUCGAACAACAUCUCGUCCAUGAGACUACUUCAUAUUCUGCACCAGACCCAUCUCAGGAGCCUACGGACAGGCACCCAUCGAUACACAGAUUUGAUUAUUCAACAAACGUUAAUGUAUUCAAUAUAAAUAAGAAAUGGUAUUAAUUUUUAUAUAUUUUUCAGGUUCAUCCUUCGCCGCCUGCGGUGGUAAAUCCCGACGAGGAUGAGGUCGCGUUUCCAGACCCAGCUCAGCCUGCGAUUCUGAGCGUGCUAGCGGGACUAGAUCCCAAGAAGAAGCACGUUAUGCAGAAGGGCGCAAGGGCGAGGGAUGAUCACGGCUUAGAGCGCCCUCUUAUUAAGAGGAAAAGGGGGAUGAAGACGAUGGCGAGAGCAGUUGGGAUGGUAUGAAACUUAGGCCUAAGGAUAGUCUCAGGCAUACCACAUGUGGGACCCAUUAGUAUAUACAAUAGUGUUGUACAGUUUAAGUAAAUAUUAUAUAUUUUUUGCGUAUCUAUUUAUAUUUAUAAAUAUUAUCUUAGUCUUUA
Long non-coding RNA from Lycium barbarum (goji berry), 1923 nucleotides. RefSeq lists it as uncharacterized. The record is from RefSeq and is a predicted model, not a curated record. The transcript has 2 exons. Lineage: Eukaryota; Viridiplantae; Streptophyta; Magnoliopsida; Solanales; Solanaceae.